UCCCUAGUAGCUCAGUUGGUAAAGAAUCUGCCUGCAAUGCAGGAGACCCAGGUUCGAUCCCUGGGUUGGGAA
This 72-nucleotide transfer RNA is filed under the name Odocoileus virginianus texanus. It matches the Rfam family "tRNA". Rfam says of the family: Transfer RNA (tRNA) molecules are approximately 80 nucleotides in length. Their secondary structure includes four short double-helical elements and three loops (D, anti-codon, and T loops). Lineage: Eukaryota; Metazoa; Chordata; Mammalia; Artiodactyla; Cervidae. The record is from Rfam by way of RNAcentral. RNAcentral also lists the same sequence under 4 other names.